Ochlerotatus camptorhynchus is the source of this 9869-nucleotide RNA transcript. It is a transcript of the gene named transcriptional regulator ATRX-like, with no coding region annotated. The transcript is spliced from 10 exons. The record is from RefSeq and is a predicted model, not a curated record. NCBI's taxonomy places the organism in Eukaryota, Metazoa, Arthropoda, Insecta, Diptera, Culicidae.
GUCUCCGCGCGACGACGACAGCAGCAAAAAAGCAUUCUCCAUCUUAAGUUUUCUUCGCGGUGUAUCGGGACAGUGAAGUGCAGUGCAGAUAAUCUCAUCAAAAUCUGCUAUUCCGGAUCAGAAAGUCUAUCAAUCCGUGUGUAUUAUCGUCGUGAAGUGUUGUGUUUCCAUAUUCCGGUAUUGAAAGAGUGCAAUCAAGCUGUUCCGCGACAGGGUGUAAGAAAAUUGCGGGCGCCAAAAUCGCUGCAGAAUUUAUUGUGUGCGGAGACGAAGGCAGCCGUAGGAGAAAAAACAAGCUACCAAAAGUGGAAGAAUAAUCGGUUUUUCUCGCUGCCCUGGAUUAUAAGGUGGAGCUAUUCGCGAUCCCCGGGAAGUGGCGGACGCCAAGAAAACAGAAAACAACAGAAUCAUCCGUCAUCUGAAUCAAUUUACCCAAUGAAAAGGAAAAUACCCUUCUGGAUGUCGCAGCAAAAUGGCCACAGCCGUCGAGGAGCCUGAUUUGUUCAACGGACUGGAGAUCACUGAAAUGGACGAGAUAAACAUGGAUAAUGGCGACGAGUACGUCUUCAUUCCGUCGGACAACGAAAAUGAGGAUGAAAACGGAUCCGGCAGCCAUGUCUCGUUGAUCAGUCAGUCGGUGUUCAAUCCGACAGUGGCUUCCGGUGUGACCCUACCGGUGGUAAGUACGGUUAAGGAAGUCAAAACAAUCGAAACGGUUCAAGGUGUUCCAGGCGUUGGACUGAUGGAUACGGAAAGCGAUCAGCUCCUGGUUGGCAUUGGCCUAGAUAGUGCGUUGGUGAGAACUGCCAGCGAAGCGCGCGUUAAGGAUGGAGAAAUGAUCAUAGUGAAAAGAAUAGAUCUUACAGAGGAAGAUGAAACAGUCAAAGAGCAAGAUGAUCAGAGAUUCACAGUUAGUUAUGAUUUCAACUUAGACAUGCAACAACUGCUCAACAUUGAACAGGCGGAAGAGAUGUCGGCGGAGGUUACUAUUAAGGAAGAAAUGGAUAUUGAAGAAGCGGUAGUAAAUCUACCUGACGACGAGGAGACUGGUUUCUCCGAACAGUUAGGAUCUCAGUUGGAUUUGGUUGAUCAUGAUGAGCACAUUGUAGGUAGCGAAGUGAUCACGCUGGAUUCAGAUGCAGCGGAAAGCGAGAACGAAGAAGACUGCGUCAUGAUGUCAUUGUUGGAACAGUGGCCCAUAUCGAUUAAGGAAGAAGGACCGGAUGAGGACAGAACUCCAGUAGAAAAUGACCAUGCCUAUACUUCUCAACCGUUGGAAGAUCAAACAGUUCCAGAUGCGGCAAAUGUAGCAAAACCAGAUGCUACAAUACAAGCGUUAGUGGACAUUUCCAAAAGAUUUCUUGAAGAAGUUGGCCCUUCUCGUACUGACUUGGACGAAACUUUGAAAAGCAUAGCUAGCAUAGAAGAACAGCUAAAAUCCCUUAAGGAUAAGCUUCUUCAAAUUGAGAAACCAUCUGACGCAACUAAAGAAGGAACAGUUGAAUCACCACUACCUCCACUUGAGGAGCCUACCAAUGCGCAUCCUUCGCGAAAGGAAUCCAGCGAAAUGGAUGCUCUUUCGGUGGAACUAUCGGAAAAUUGCUCCGAAAGGCUAGAGUGUAGUUCUGUCAGUGAUCUUCCUCUAUUCUGCUCGGACGUCGGAGAGAAGGGAAGCGAAAUUGUAGGCCAGGAAGCUGCAGAAACUAAUUCUGCAACUGCAACCGCAAUCGACGAUACGGAAGAGCAGUUAGAGAAGAAAUCCACUUCAAAUUUGUCCAAGAUUCUGUCGCAAAAUGCCUCGGAACCGUUGGAGCAUGAAAGUGAACAGGCGAUGGAGUCGGAUGAACCAAUAGGCACGAAUGAGGAACCGUGUUCAAUGGAGAAUGAACAAGAAGCAAUGGCAAAUCUACAGCAAGUAUUGGGAGAAGCAAUUGAGGAAGUCAGGAAAGAGGCAGAAGAAUUUCAGCAAGCGGAGGAUGUUGCGCCUGCAAGUGCAAAAGGAGUAACAAAUCAAGAAGGUUUGAAAAUAGAAAGUUUGGAAGAUCUCAUCGCAUAUGGUGAAAUGUUCACCAAAGAAUGCGGAAACUGGUUGGACAAAAUUAACAGCAACUGUCGGCGAUCAGAAGAGGAAGAAGGAGUCGUUAAGGAAUCAUCCCAAGCAAACAAGGAACAAUUUUUAAAAGCGGAACGCUUUAUGGGUUCUCUGACGAAGGAUGUGCAGAGGUUAGCUUUGAAAGUUUCUUCCAAGGAGAAAAGCCGUCCUGAUCGGGUAGAAGUAUCCGUACAAACAGAAAAAAUCCAGCGUACCGGCGCCAGUGCGAAAACCCUGAAUGAGAAAUACAAAAAGCGUUUACUCAGCUCGCUGGGUGAAACAGAAGUAGCGGAGCAAGGCUUAUCGGACAGUGACGGCGAAUCGUACGUUUCGAACGAUGGGAGCACUAGAUCGAGUGAUGCGGGCGAUUCAGACGUUUACGACGACGCUGACGAUGAUGAAGAUGAAGCAGCAUUCGAGAGGCGACAGAAUCGAAGAAAAUCGAAACGUUUGAGGCAGCAACUAGUGAAGGAAAAUGAAACACCGAACCAGGAUGGAUCGGACGAAGACGAGGUACAGCCGAGUAAAAAGAGAAAUGCUCGGAGGUUGGGUAGCACUGAUUCCUCGCAUGAUAAAGCAGACAGCCCAUCUAAAUCGUCUACUGUCGCUACGCUAGAUGACAGUGAAGAAAUUGCUGUAAAGAAUGAGCCUUACGUGGAGAUUGACUCUGAAUCACCGAGUAAUAAGAGUGUCAUCCACAGGCUACAUAAUGGCGAUGACUCUGUCGAGGCAAUGGACGAAGAUGCUACACCAAUUAAACGGGAAUCGUCAAUCAAUUUAACACCAUCGCAGAGCCAAAGUGAAACAAUUCCAGAGAAGCUAGCAGAAGAGAAUGAUGAAUCAAGUAAGGAGCGUCGUGAAGAUGAUGGUGAUGAGCAGUCAGAUAGUGAGUUGCUUGAUGAUGUACUAGGACAGGUGGACGAUAUUCUUUUGGAUGUUAAUGAUAUUCUUCCUGCAGCGGAAGGGGUAGUGCAGGACUUUUUAGUAGAGGAAGAGGUGAGAACCGAACAGGAAGAGGAACGUAGAGAGCCGAAACGAGAGGAAAUCAAGAGGAAGCCAAAGAGCAGUGGGAAGAAGAUCGAUAGCGAAGAGGAAGAUGAGGUGGAAUCCGAUCUGGAAGAGAAGGAAAAGGAAAAGACACUUGAUGAUAUGACGGAAUCGGAACUUGAAGAAUACUACGAUAACCAGAGGGAAAAGGAAAUCGACAAAUUGUGUAACUUGGCUAACCUGGAGGUGGCGAGAAAUGCGUACCCGCAGAAGCCUCAGGAGGUGAAAAAGAAACCAGUGGUAGUUAAGAAAAAGGAACGUGUUAUAGAUGACAUUUUGAACGAAGUUGAAUUACACCACGAAUCCGACGACAGUGACUCUGAUACGGAGGUUUUGGAGACAGAAGAGCUGUUCCUACAAAAGUGCAAUGAAAACAUGAAGAAUCAACUGCUGAAUCAGCUGAGUAGUAGCGACACGGAACGGGACUCGGGCAGUGAGGACAGUGUGGUAGAAGCUCUUAAACAGGAAGGAGAGUAUGAUUCGGAUGACUCGGCGGGUUCGAUCUUGAUGGAGAAAUUUCUAAAAAGCUUGGACAAAAAUCAUGAUGUGAGUGGCGAUGAAGAUGCUAAAGAUGGAGAGAUCCAUCAAGAGGACGAAAAAAUAGACGAUGAUAUGGACUCUUCCGUGCAAACCGAAACUAUCGAAGCUGACAAAAUUGGAAAGAGUGAAAAAGAUUUUAUCGAUGAUUCGGAUAUACCUGAAGUUGAUAACGAAGAGGCAAUGGAAAAGAUGAAAAAUCAUCUCAACAAUAUCGAACAAAAGAAACCUGAUCAUGUCAAGGAAAUCAAGGAAAAGGAAAAACCAAAGGAUGGUCCGGCCAGCGUCAGUAAAACAACUGCAAUAGAUCCAAUCGAUAAGCAAUUGUUUAGUAAGAAGAUGUUCCGAGAGGUGGACGAAACGCUACGAAAAGAUCGUGAGCAAGACGUAUUCGACAAGGAGAACGGUUCUCUAGCGGAUCGUUCCGAACGAAUCGGUAGCGACGACUCGGACGUGGAACUGCUGGAUGUUUCCAUGUUUCAGCCAAAACGUAAAAUGAAAGAGCGAAAGCUAGAGGACUUUGAUUUCAGUGCCAAUACCAAGCGUUCAACGCAACAAACGAAACGUGGGAAUCCGAAAGAAGGCGACUGCAUCAGCCUUAGUUCGGAGAGCGAAGCUGAAGUCGAGGAGACUACUACUACUACUACUACUACUGAGACUGACGAAAAGGAAAACAAGCAACGGAAGAUCCGAACGAUGUUGACUCAAGAUCAGCUGGCUGAUGAAACGAAAACGGCUCAGAAAGACGAGGAAAUACGACUUUCUCGGUUGAAGAAAAAGAAUGAAAACCUGAAAAAGUUCUUGACGACAUUCAAACCGGGACCGGAAGAGAGCAAUCUCGUGUUGGAUUACGAUGCCAAAGUGAACAAAGCGAUUUGCGUUCAUCCGGAAAUAGUGAAACUACUGAAACCGCAUCAAAAGGAAGGUAUUCGCUUCAUGUAUGACAAUACAUAUGGUAGUGUGGAAUAUAUCAACAAGAAUCCAGGCUCCGGAUGUAUUCUCGCUCAUUGUAUGGGUCUGGGAAAGACACUGCAGUUGAUCACACUACUACACACCGUGAUGCGCUAUCCGCAGCUUAGAACGAAAAGAGUACUCGUAAUUUGCCCGAAAAGUACAGUGAUGAACUGGAGCGAUGAAAUUCAGCAAUGGUUAGGAUCGUUGAAGAGUGGCCCUCGUUUAAAGGUAUUCUACUUCCCGGAUAACAGUGACGUCAACGACAAGCUGAAAGUUCUCAGCGAUUGGUACUCCUCUACGGCGAGCCGCUGUGGUUGUAUGCUCAUCGGGUACGAGGCAUUCCGAAUUUUGGUAAACUACGAGAAACGCAAGCGAACGCCGUCCAACAUCCUAGCUGCUAAGGCCGCCUUUGUGAAGAAGAGGGUGGACGAGUAUCUACUGAAUCCGGGUGCUGACCUCGUUAUCUGCGACGAAGGGCAUCAGAUCAAAAAUAAGAAAUCAGCCAUCAGUGGUGCCGUUUCGCAAAUCAAGACGAAACGACGGAUUGUUCUGACGGGUACACCCAUCCAGAAUAAUUUGAAAGAAUACUACUGCAUGGUAAACUUCAUCAAACCGUCGUUCUUGGGCAGCGACCGAGAGUUCAGCAAUCUCUAUGGUAAUCCGAUAAAAAAUGGCCAACAUAAAGAUUCGGACAGUCGGGCGAUCAAAAUCAUGAAACAGAGGUCGUACGUGUUGCACAAUAAGCUGUCCAGAUUUGUUCAGCGAAGGGAGGCUGGUGUUCUAAAGGAAUUUCUACCGGAAAAGUUUGAGUAUGUGUUGUUCGUUCCACUAACGCCUGUACAAGAAAAAAUGUACGAGGUUUUCCUACAAAUGAAUGAAUAUACAACGUCCACCGGGGAGGCCGGAGAAGCUGCUAAAGGGAAAAAGUUUAAACUUCUCGCUGAUUACACCUCUCUGAGAAAGAUCUGGACGCAUCCCAAAGUACUGGAAAAGGCAUGGGAAACGGCCGUACAGGAGAAAAGUAAACGGGACGCUCGAUUCCGUUUGACAUCGACGCCGGAUUCGGACGAUGAUCGACCGGAUGAUUACAACGACAUCUCGUCGGGUGCUCUCUCCGUUACGAACGACUGGUGGCGAAAGCACUUGGAGGCAAACGACCUGGAAUCUCUGUAUCCGAGCGGCAAGCUGAGGAUAAUGUUCGAGAUCCUGAAGCAGUGCCAUGAGCGAGGGGAAAAGUGCUUGAUCUUCUCCGCUUUCGUGGCGGUGCUAAAUGUGGUUGAGCAUUUCAUGAACAAGAUACACAAUCGACAGAACGAAACGAUGGCCGAUGUGUACGGGUAUAGCACUUUCAAAGGCCCAUGGGAACCCGGUAAAGAUUACUACCGGUUGGAUGGCAAAACACAGAAAAACAUUCGUCAUCGAAUGAUUACGUCAUUCAAUGAUCCUUCCAAUAAGCGAACAAAGUGUUUCCUAAUUUCGGCAAAGGCUGGCGGUCAAGGAAUCAACCUAAUCGGAGCAAAUCGAGUGAUCAUUCUGGAUACGUCGUGGAAUCCCUCCAAUGACCAACAGAACAUCUUCCGGAUAUUCAGGCUGGGUCAGAAGAGGAAGUGCUUUGUCUAUCGAUUACUGGCGAUGGGAACGAUGGAAGAGAAGGUCUAUUCACGAUCAGUGACUAAACAGGCCAUGAGCUUCCGCGUUGUAGACGAGCAGCAGAUCGAUCGGCAUUACAGUUUCUCGGAACUUGCAGAGCUGUACAAUCUAUCUAAACUAGCCGAUCAAGUGCGGGAGACACCAAUACUGCCAGCUGAUGAUUUGUUAGCUUCCCUGUUGAGAAAUCACCCCGAUUGUGCGUUCAAGUAUCACGAACAUGACUCACUAUUGGAGAACAAACCUGAACAAGAUCUGAGCGAGGAAGAUAAGCGAGAGGCUUGGGCGGCCUAUGAACGUGAAAUUCAAAAUAACGAAAAACCUACCUAUCCAGGAGGUAUGGGCAUGCUGCCGAAUUUCAUGAGUUCAAUGUUCCCUGGAGGUCCAGGUGCUGGAAUUGGACCGUAUCCUCCAAUCAACUAUUCGGGACUUCCGGGAACGCUAGCCGAUAUGUAUCGGAGUGAUUUUGGAUAUGGCUCCGGUAUGAACAGACUGAUGUAUCCCUACGGCAGCCCGCCGUUCCCAAUCGUGAACGAUCCAAGCUAUUCAUCGAUCAUGGGGAAAUCUCCGUACCAGAAUUUCAGUCUGCCAGGAUCUUCAAGCAGUUUGCCGGACUUUGGAUUAUCAGCCGCUAUGAACGGUCAAGGGUCAGCGGGAACGACAAACUACAACUCUACGGUUGCUCUGCAGAGUCUAUUGGAUCUGUAUGCCAAAUCUAUGUCCAACGCAAUGAGUUCCAGUACAAUAACGACGGCAGCGGCAACAUCUGUUUCUCCGAGUACAUCGACUUCCGCAGCUGGAGUAUCACCCUAUAAUGCUUUGAGUUCCUUGAAGCAGUUCAAUGGUUUUCCACCAAUAUCUCCCAUCGCUACACCCAUGCCUCAUUCCUCUCCGCAAUUACCCCCUCCGAAAACAUCACAAAGUCCUAGCAGUGCUUCCGGAAAUGCUGCCCUGAUCAAUAUGCUCAAUGAGCAACCUAUGCCAAUGUCAUCCGCUGCGUCAUCUGGACCAUUUUCCCACCUAAACUCUCCCUUACCUGCUCCUUCAAUUCAUAUACCCCGGAAUAUCCCUAGUGCAGUAACGACCACAAGCCCAGCGACCUCCUCGCCAGUAUUAUCCACCUCUUCAACAGCUAAGGCAGUACCUCUCUCCUCUACACCUGCACUAAUCGUGCCGCAACCUCCGCCAAGAGCCAGCGCAUACAAACCACCGGAAUCGUCCAAAAGCAUAAACCCCAAACCAGUACCUCUAACAACUACGAUCGUUGCCAGCGAUGACGACGAUGUCGAUGAUGACGGCAUCCCACGGCCACACAUUAUAGUGCGGGAUCCGUUAUCGAUCAACGCUAGUAGCAGUAAAUCUCAACAAGAUCAGGAGAAAAUAGUCAAAAAGAUCAAUAUGGGUAUCGUUUACCCUGAGGAGAAGAAAAAGGAUCAAUCCAAAGACAUCAUGCUUAGUGCGAAGAGCAUAACAAACCUGGCGAAGCCAACAAUCGCCGUCAAAAAUGUAGAAAGCAUGAAAGCAGUUCCUCCGGUGGGUUCCAAAACUUCUUCGCCUGUGUCUGCAAUGUCAAGACCUGGUUCCUCAGGCAGUAAACCGAUCCGAGCAUCUCCGGUACAAAAUCCUUUGACUACACUUCCGAAACCACACCAAGCAUCUAGGCAGCACCAGCAUCAACACCCACUAAUUCGUACUCCACUGUCAGGCUCAUCCCCAGUUCUCAGCAUUAAGCAAUCUCCUUCUCCAAGGCAACAAGUUCCCGUCAUAACAAGCGCCAAAUCGUUACAGUUGAGUUCUCCCAAUUUAGCGGGAGGAAGUUUCAGUGCACAAACACAAAGAACAUCAACCUCGUCCAAUAAUACUUCCAGUGUAUCUCCAACUCCGAAUUCAACUGUUCCUCGAGGCGUAAUAGCUGCACAGCAAUUACGUGAACUGCAGCAACGAAUGAACCAGGCUGGUGCUAACAACAGCAGUAGUAAUAUUAGUAGUAGCAGUAGUAAUGCCAGCAAUCCCGGUCAUUUGGUAGUGGCUAGAACGAAGAAAGCAGUUUCCCAACUGGUAUCGAGCAAUCAACGACUCGCGGGUGCCAAGCAGCAUGGAGCGCAUCCCAUUGGCAUAUUUGCUUCCCCUCCAGGUACAGUUCUGACUAACCAAAAACAGACAAAGCCAGCCAUUGGUUCUACUACUACUACUACUACUGCUACUACUACUACUAGUGGUAGUAGUAACGCCACGGCCGGAAGGAUGAACAAAUCUCCCCUAUCGGACAGUGUCAGUAUAACGAAAAUCACUAGCGCAGGCCAGCGGAUAGCGAUGAGCAAUCCACCGUUGAUGAGUUCACCCACCACAAAUAUCAAUAAUAACAAUAGUUUGGCCACUAUGAGUCCCACCUUGCUGGGAACGAGUUUGGGUCGAAAACAGGACUUGGUCAUUACAAAAACAACUCCCGGUGCGGCGACCGUACGGAAAGUGAUUCCAGGACCGAAUAUGGUUGUAAAAGCACACAGUGGUCUCACCGCUCCACCGACGAAGCGUAAUUUCCCCUCGAUGACACCAAACUUGAAGAGUGGCGCAACGACCGGAUCGGCUCAGUUGAUCCAAUCCAUAUCCAGCGGCGGCGUCGGAGGUGCAGUAAGCUUACCGGCCGGUAUUACUAGCAACAGCAUAACCGUUCGAAAGCGGAAAGCUACGGAACCGACCCUGAUCGAUAGUCUGAAGGCGAAGAACAAUUCCAUAACGAUCAGCGAGGUUCGGUCAAUUUUUCAACCACCGGUGGCCAAGAAGCCCAAUCAGGGUCUGCCAGUUCAAGCGCAGAAACGGUUCGGAAGCGGUAUAACGAUUACACCGCGGAAGCCCACUCCUCAACAGCAACAGCAAAACAUUCUUGAGGUAGUGGAAAUUGAAUGAGCUCGAAAGCUAUCAACUGACGAUUAUCGGUAGAUAGUGGUUUUUGUUCGAAAAGCACCAACGAAAUGUGGGAGCCAUCAGUGUCAUUUAACAUUACUUGAAACAGGGUUACAACGUUAUUUUUUUUUUAAUUAUUUUGCUUUCAUUAUGAGAAGAAGCUCUGAAUGUAUACCAAUUGAAUGGAAUGUUUGCAAAAAUGUGCUUGAAUGUGUGAAUGUGAAGCACAGGACAGAAAACUCGCUACAAGUAACCAAAAUCAUACAAAACGUAAAAGUAUAGUUUCUAUAAUCCGGGGAAGAUUUAUGUAAUGUGUUUUAAGAAUCGAAUGAGGAAGUCGUGCAUCUAACGAAGAUCCUUCAUGUGUAAGAUAUUUUGACAAGACAAACAAGUGGAGUUUCGGUUAUGUAAAUAUAUGUAAUUAUUAUGUAAUAAACUAUUUAUUUACCCUGGAAAUGUAUGUACACGUAUUUUUAUCGAGAUCAAAGGUAAAAAUAGUAGGAAAACAGCUACACUAAAACGAUAGCUUUUAUUCUGCUUGUUCCACUCUCAAAGGUGAGACUUAAUUUUGUGUACAUAACAGUCACUUUUUAAAAGGCAAUAAUCCACAGUGUACAUUUUGUUAAGUAGCAUUUGUGAUUCUACACAAAAUUCAUGAUAAUAAACCUAAUUUAUCUUGUGAUACGUA